This 468-nucleotide ribosomal RNA is filed under the name uncultured bacterium. RNAcentral describes it as "partial 16S ribosomal RNA". It matches the Rfam family "Bacterial small subunit ribosomal RNA", at positions 28 to 507 of the family's 1533-position model. The record is from RNAcentral.
GACGAACGCUGGCGGCGUGCUUAACACAUGCAAGUCGAACGGAAAGGCCCUGCUUUUGUGGGGUGCUCGAGUGGCGAACGGGAGCGUAACACGUGAGUAACCUGCCCUUGACUUUGGGAUAACUUCAGGAAACUGGGGCUAAUACCGGAUAGGAGCUGCUGCUGCAUGGAGGGGGUUGGAAAGUUUCGGCGGUUGGGGAUGGACUCGCGGCUUAUCAGCUUGUUGGUGGAGUAGUGGCUUACCAAGGCUUUGACGGGUAGCCGGCCUGAGAGCGUGACCGGCCACAUUGGGACUGAGAUACGGCCCAGACUCCUACGGGAGGCAGCAGUGGGGAGUAUUGCACAAUGGGCGGACGCCUGAUGCAGAAGCGCCGCGUGCGGGAUGACGUCCUUCGGGUUGUAAACCGCGUUCGCCUGUGACGAAGCGUGAGUGACGGUAAUGGGUAAAGAAGCACCGGCUAACUACGUG